Molecule: non-coding RNA, 2030 nt
Organism: Paramisgurnus dabryanus
Lineage: Eukaryota; Metazoa; Chordata; Actinopteri; Cypriniformes; Cobitidae
Source: RefSeq, a predicted model, not a curated record
UAAAGUAAGGUAACUGCAGGUGCAACAGUACCUGUCUCAAUUGACCAAUCACAGAGAGGGAGGGCGUGUCAGCAGCAGGUGAACUAUAAAUGAAUGAAGUCAUCACUCACAUUGUGUUUUAGACAGAGAUGCAGUGCUAUGUGAUGUGGGCUUAGUUUCAACCACAAAGUUGCUCUACUGUGUGUUUGGAAAGAAACUUAAUUGGAGAGUCCCUGACAUUCCUGCCUAGGACUGUGCCGGAGAUUAACAAGACAUAAUGGCAGACAAGUUUCCUUGGUGGAAAACCUUAACUGGAAAAAACAAGAAUAUUCUGAAAGAAGUCCAGCAAGAGUUUGCAAAUCCGGACAAAAAAUCCGCGAAACAAAGCAGCACUGACAACAAAAACAUCAACACGAUCGGCGACGAGGCAUUCGACGACUCCCAACUGGAGACGGUCAUCAAUGAACACACAUUCCGCAGACUCGUGAAAGUGUCACGGUCCGGCCGCUUCAGACAGAAGGACCGAGUGAGGGGCACAAUGCCUGAAAACAACUUUUUUGAUAGAAACACUGCUGCUGCAAAGUAAAAAAAACAUGUUAUGACAAAACAGGACAAAACUGCAAUUCCCUAGCAACAGUCGACUACAGCGCUUCUUUAAAUGGAACCCCCGAGCGGCGCGACUCGUUUUGUCGCGUCGUUCGCUUCGAGUGAAGGAAAACAUCAAUGAAGCUUUUCACUUUAAUUUGAGUGACUGACACUGAUAGCUGACCUGUUGCAUUGUUCCAGUGAUCUGGAGCUGGGAUUUGUCUCUAAAAAUUAGCCUAUCUUAGAGACACUGAAUGCCUGAUGCUUGCACAUCUCAUCCCACAUAAAAAUACUGUAGUAUACUUUAAAUUUUAAUAUAAGAAAGUAUAUCAAUUUCUAGAUAUGGUUUUGAACUAUAUAGGCUUACAGUAUUAUUAAAUAUUAGACAAGGCCUACUGUACAUUAAGUUAACAAAGUGUAGUAUUAGUAAAGUACACUACAGUUUACUAAAUACUAAAGUAUACUUCAGCAUUUCUACAUGUGAGAUAAAUUGAUGAAAUAUUCGUUUAUUGGCCUCUGUAGGCUUACGAUCCAGAUCAGCACAAGGCCAGGUUGGGAUGUUUGCAAGUUAAAUUUGUUAUUAGUUUUUUUUUCAAAAGGCUUUUAUUUAUGGCUUCAAAAGGGAGUUUGAAUUGUUUAAAGAGGACAUAUCAUGAAAAUCUGACUUUUCCAUGCCUGUUUAAGUGCUGUAAUUGGGUCCCCAACAUAGAAAUGUGAAAAAGAUCAACCCAGUAACUUUGUUUUGGUAAACCAUUCUCUGCAAGCAUGUGAAAAAAUAGGUGAUUGGAAUUUGGCUCCCCUUGUGAUGUCAGAGGGGGCGCAGAGAAAUGCACCCUACACCAUGGCAAAUGCCAAAUAGUUUGAGAACCACUGUUUGGGCAGAAUAUAUGUAUAUAAGUUAUAGAAUAUUUAAGUUUUACUCUUUCGGGUCUACUUGAAGGAAGAUUUGGUUUUAGUCAUUGUACCAGUAAGAAGCUUGUAGUUUUUUAAUUACCAGUAUAGUCUGGAUGAAAAUGAAGGACACGGCCAAUGUAGUGAGCAUGUUUUUAUGUAAAGGCUAACAUGAUACAGAAUUUGCCAGUAUUGAUAAUAUAUUAAUUGACAGUGCUCUAUAUUUGACAAUAAUUUUCCAGUAAUUACAAUAGCAGCAGUCAUAGGGGAGACCCCAAAACACUGGUUAACCCUAAAAAUGUAUACUGUAGGCCUCCUUUAGUGUUCUAGUGUAUAUUUUUCACAUGAAGUCAAUGUAAUAUCUGACAUGAUCUUUUUGAUCAUGUGAGCUGAUUGGUUUGUUUUUUUACAUUUAUUAUUCGUACUUCAUUUCAUUGAGAAUAGAAAUGGAAUUGCAACAGUUUAUGUUACUGUGUAAUGACAUAGUAUAAGAAUGGAAUGUUGUUAAAUGUGGAUGAGCAGUUGCUGUGGUAUGCAAAUUAUAAUACAACAUGCCACACCAUAAUACCAUAAAA